RNAcentral lists this ribosomal RNA (500 nucleotides) under uncultured bacterium. Its description in RNAcentral is "partial 16S ribosomal RNA". It matches the Rfam family "Bacterial small subunit ribosomal RNA", at positions 29 to 523 of the family's 1533-position model. The record is from RNAcentral.
AUUGAACGCUGGCGGCAUGCCUUACACAUGCAAGUCGAACGGCAGCACGGGAGCAAUCCUGGUGGCGAGUGGCGAAUGGGUGAGUAAUAUAUCGGAACGUGCCCAGUAGUAGGGGAUAACUGCUCGAAAGAGCAGCUAAUACCGCAUACGACCUGAGGGUGAAAGCGGGGGAUCGCAAGACCUCGCGCUAUUGGAGCGGCCGAUAUCAGAUUAGCUAGUUGGUGGGGUAAAAGCUCACAAAGGCGACGAUCUGUAGCUGGUAUGAGAGGACGACCAGCCACACUGGGACUGAGGCGCGGCCCAGACUCCUGCGGGAGGCAGCAGUGGGGAAUUUUGGACAAUGGGCGCAAGCCUGAUCCAGCCAUGCCGCGUGCGGGAAGAAGGCCUUCGGGUUGUAAACCGCUUUUGUCAGGGAAGAAACGGCUCCUACUAAUACUGGGGGCUAAUGACGGUACCUGAAGAAUAAGGACCGGCUAACUACGUGCCAGCCGCCGCGGUAA